RNAcentral lists this long non-coding RNA (282 nucleotides) under Capsicum annuum. Its description in RNAcentral is "long non-coding RNA (CANN_LNC019890)". The record is from RNAcentral. Lineage: Eukaryota; Viridiplantae; Streptophyta; Magnoliopsida; Solanales; Solanaceae.
AUUAAUCAUCAAACUAGGAAUGAGCAUGAUCUUGAGGAUGAGGUUGAGGCCGAAUCUGAAAAUGAUGUUGAACUAGAGAAGAGCCUUACCAAGUAAAGGAAUAAGACUAUCCAUGCUGCCCAUCAGGAGAAGAGAAACUUUUCCUCGAGAAAUACAUACAUAUAAGGAUCAAUUCUACUUGCAUAGUACUAAAAAACUACUAGAAGUCAAAACACCUAGAUGAAAACGACACACAACACUUUGAAAUUUAUGCUUCAGACAUUGAUGAAAUUUUUAGUAGAA